AGCGAACGCUGGCGGCAGGCUUAACACAUGCAAGUCGAGCGGGCAUCUUCGGAUGUCAGCGGCAGACGGGUGCGUAACCCGUGGGAACGUACCCUUCGGUUCGGAACAACUCUGGGAAACUGGAGCUAAUACCGGAUACGCCCUUAUGGGGAAAGGUUUACUGCCGAAGGAUCGGCCCGCGUCUGAUUAGCUAGUUGGUGGGGUAACGGCCUACCAAGGCGACGAUCAGUAGCUGGUCUGAGAGGAUGAUCAGCCACACUGGGACUGAGACACGGCCCAGACUCCUACGGGAGGCAGCAGUGGGGAAUAUUGGACAAUGGGCGCAAGCCUGAUCCAGCCAUGCCGCGUGAGUGAUGAAGGCCUUAGGGUUGUAAAGCUCUUUUGUCCGGGACGAUAAUGACGGUACCGGAAGAAUAAGCCCCGGCUAACUUCGUG
This 435-nucleotide ribosomal RNA is filed under the name uncultured bacterium. Its description in RNAcentral is "partial 16S ribosomal RNA". It matches the Rfam family "Bacterial small subunit ribosomal RNA", at positions 29 to 507 of the family's 1533-position model. The record is from RNAcentral.